This 164-nucleotide ribosomal RNA is filed under the name Bidens socorrensis. RNAcentral describes it as "5.8S ribosomal RNA". It matches the Rfam family "5.8S ribosomal RNA". Rfam says of the family: 5.8S ribosomal RNA (5.8S rRNA) is a component of the large subunit of the eukaryotic ribosome. It is transcribed by RNA polymerase I as part of the 45S precursor that also contains 18S and 28S rRNA. Lineage: Eukaryota; Viridiplantae; Streptophyta; Magnoliopsida; Asterales; Asteraceae. The record is from RNAcentral.
UAAACGACUCUCGGCAACGGAUAUCUUGGCUCACGCAUCGAUGAAGAACGUAGCAAAAUGCGAUACUUGGUGUGAAUUGCAGAAUCCCGUGAACCAUCGAGUUUUUGAACGCAAGUUGCGCCCGAAGCCUUCUGGCCGAGGGCACGUCUGCCUGGGCGUCACGU